Molecule: ribosomal RNA, 253 nt
Filed under: uncultured bacterium
Lineage: Bacteria
Description: partial 16S ribosomal RNA
Rfam family: Bacterial small subunit ribosomal RNA
Source: RNAcentral
GACGAAGGAUGCAAGCGUUAUCCGGAUUCAUUGGGUUUAAAGGGCGCGUAGGUGGCCUUGUAAGUCAGUGGUGAAAUCCUGUCGCUUAACGAUAGAAUUGCCAUUGAUACUGCAGGGCUUGAGUACAGUUGCCGUUGGCGGAAUAUGUCAUGUAGCGGUGAAAUGCUUAGAUAUGACAUAGAACACCAAUUGCGAAGGCAGCUGGCUACACAAAUAUUGACACUGAGGCACGAAAGCGUGGGGAUCAAACAGG